RNAcentral lists this ribosomal RNA (230 nucleotides) under uncultured microorganism. Its description in RNAcentral is "partial 16S ribosomal RNA". It matches the Rfam family "Bacterial small subunit ribosomal RNA", at positions 524 to 753 of the family's 1533-position model. The record is from RNAcentral.
UACGGAGGGGGCAAGCGUUGUUCGGAGUGACUGGGCGUAAAGCGCGCGUAGGCGGUGGCGUAAGUCUAUUGUUAAAGGCAUCGGCUUAACCGGUGUACGGCAGUAGAAACUACGUCGCUAGAGUACCGGAGAGGAAUGCGGAACAUCUGGUGUAGCGGUGGAAUGCGUAGAUAUCAGAUAGAACACCUGUUGCGAAGGCGGCAUUCUGGUCGGUAACUGACGCUGAGGUG